Etheostoma cragini (Arkansas darter) is the source of this 400-nucleotide long non-coding RNA. RefSeq lists it as uncharacterized. Lineage: Eukaryota; Metazoa; Chordata; Actinopteri; Perciformes; Percidae. The record is from RefSeq and is a predicted model, not a curated record. The transcript has 2 exons.
GAAGAAGAAGACUCCUGGUCCUGAAAUCUGGACUUUGAAUACGUGUGGUCCUCCAUGUUUUCUUCUUCUAACUUGCCGGUGCCGGGAAGCAACGAUACCCGUUAGCAGCGUUAGCAGCAUUAGCAGCAUUAGCAGCCGUGAGUUUAUCAUAUGACAGAGAAAACACAAAAGGCCGAGCAGUAUGUCCUGUAUGUCCCUCACCGGCUAACGUAUUUCAAGAUGGAGCAUGAAUACACAGCGUCCACCCCAGUUCGUGAGGAUGCAAAUGUAAAAUUUCAGAGCAAUAAGAAUACUUGAAAUUGAUGGUGGUGGUAAAUAUUCAUGUAAAAGGACGAGUUUGUGACCGGCAACACCGAUUUGGAUGAUGAACGACUACACACGUUCCACACUGGGACUUUAA